GGCAUUGUGGCUGAACGGUUAGGCAAAACUCCGCAAGAGUUCUUAUAGUGGUUCGAAUCCACUCGAUGCCU
RNAcentral lists this transfer RNA (71 nucleotides) under Maribacter sp. MMG018. It matches the Rfam family "tRNA". From Rfam's summary of the family: Transfer RNA (tRNA) molecules are approximately 80 nucleotides in length. Their secondary structure includes four short double-helical elements and three loops (D, anti-codon, and T loops). Lineage: Bacteria; Pseudomonadati; Bacteroidota; Flavobacteriia; Flavobacteriales; Flavobacteriaceae. The record is from Rfam by way of RNAcentral.